AUUCCAGCUCCAAUAGCGUAUAUUAAAGUUGUUGCAGUUAAAAAGCUCGUAGUUGGAGUUCAGAGUGAGCUCAAUCGGUCGGGAUUAUGUCUCAGAACUGGUUGACUCUCUCUUGUUUGUGGAUCCUGUUCGGAGUUAACUCUUCGGAUGUGGAGUCCACAUCGUUUACCUUGAAAAAAUUAGAGUGUUCAAAGCAGGCGUUUGCUUGAAUAUAUUAGCAUGGAAUAAUGGAAUAGGACGCUGGUUCUAUUUUGUUGGUUUUGAGAACCAGAGUAAUGAUUAAUAGGGACAGUUGGGGGCAUUCAUAUUUCAUUGUCAGAGGUGAAAUUCUUGGAUUUAUGAAAGAUGAACUUCUGCGAAAGCAUUUGCCAAGGAUGUUUUCAUUG
RNAcentral lists this ribosomal RNA (386 nucleotides) under Telonemia sp. Its description in RNAcentral is "partial small subunit ribosomal RNA". It matches the Rfam family "Eukaryotic small subunit ribosomal RNA", at positions 582 to 975 of the family's 1831-position model. Lineage: Eukaryota; Telonemia. The record is from RNAcentral.